GGGUUGUGAGGUUAAGCGACUAAGCGUACACGGUGGAUGCCCUGGCAGUCAGAGGCGAUGAAGGGCGUGCUAAUCUGCGAUAAGCGCCGGUAAGGUGAUAUGAACCGUUAUAACCGGCGAUACCCGAAUGGGGAAACCCAGUGUGACUCGUCACACUAUCAUUAACUGAAUCCAUAGGUUAAUGAGGCGAACCGGGGGAACUGAAACAUCUAAGUACCCCGAGGAAAAGAAAUCAACCGAGAUUCCCCCAGUAGCGGCGAGCGAACGGGGAGGAGCCCAGAGCCUGAAUCAGCAUGUGUGUUAGUGGAAGCGUCUGGAAAGGCGCGCGAUACAGGGUGACAGCCCCGUACACAAAAGCGCAUGUGCUGUGAGCUCGAUGAGUAGGGCGGGACACGUGGUAUCCUGUCUGAAUAUGGGGGGACCAUCCUCCAAGGCUAAAUACUCCUGACUGACCGAUAGUGAACCAGUACCGUGAGGGAAAGGCGAAAAGAACCCCGGCGAGGGGAGUGAAAAAGAACCUGAAACCGUGUACGUACAAGCAGUGGGAGCACAGGUUUACCUGUGUGACUGCGUACCUUUUGUAUAAUGGGUCAGCGACUUAUAUUCUGUAGCAAGGUUAACCGCAUAGGGGAGCCGGAGGGAAACCGAGUCUUAAUUGGGCGUUAAGUUGCAGGGUAUAGACCCGAAACCCGGUGAUCUAGCCAUGGGCAGGUUGAAGGUUGGGUAACACUAACUGGAGGACCGAACCGACUAAUGUUGAAAAAUUAGCGGAUGACCUGUGGCUGGGGGUGAAAGGCCAAUCAAACCGGGAGAUAGCUGGUUCUCCCCGAAAGCUAUUUAGGUAGCGCCUCGUGAAUUCAUCUCCGGGGGUAGAGCACUGUUUCGGCUAG
Molecule: ribosomal RNA, 890 nt
Filed under: Salmonella enterica subsp. enterica serovar Muenchen
Lineage: Bacteria; Pseudomonadati; Pseudomonadota; Gammaproteobacteria; Enterobacterales; Enterobacteriaceae
Description: partial 23S ribosomal RNA
Rfam family: Bacterial large subunit ribosomal RNA
Source: RNAcentral